RNAcentral lists this ribosomal RNA (394 nucleotides) under Burmoniscus ocellatus. RNAcentral describes it as "partial 16S ribosomal RNA". The stretch from base 133 to 394 matches the Rfam family "Bacterial large subunit ribosomal RNA", at positions 2079 to 2613 of the family's 2925-position model. Lineage: Eukaryota; Metazoa; Arthropoda; Malacostraca; Isopoda; Philosciidae. The record is from RNAcentral.
ACUGUGCUAAGGUAGCAUAAUAAUUUGUUAUUUAAUUGAUAACUGGGAUAAACGGUAUUACAAGAAUUAUAUUUUUAUAUUCACAAAUUAUAAAUUAAUUAAUUAAGUAAAAAAGCUUAUUUAAAUUAAAGAGACGACAAGACCCUAGAAUCUUAAAAUUAAUUUUACUGGGGUGGUAGUGUUUAAAUUUAACAACUUUUUUUUAAAAUUACUAAAGAUUUCUAUUUCUUAGAUAAAUAAAAAGAUACUCUAGGGAUAACAGCAUAAUUUUUUUCUAGAGUCCUAAUCGACAAAAAAGAUUAUGACCUCGAUGUUGAAUUAUAGAAACUUAAAUAAGUAGAAUUCUUUAAAGUAAGUCUGUUCGACUUUUUAUUCUAUACGUGAUCUGAGUUCA